This 648-nucleotide ribosomal RNA is filed under the name Kocuria sp. PLB041. RNAcentral describes it as "bacterial SSU rRNA". It matches the Rfam family "Bacterial small subunit ribosomal RNA", at positions 782 to 1427 of the family's 1533-position model. The record is from RNAcentral. Lineage: Bacteria; Bacillati; Actinomycetota; Actinomycetes; Micrococcales; Micrococcaceae.
AUACCCUGGUAGUCCAUGCCGUAAACGUUGGGCACUAGGUGUGGGGGACAUUCCACGUUCUCCGCGCCGUAGCUAACGCAUUAAGUGCCCCGCCUGGGGAGUACGGCCGCAAGGCUAAAACUCAAAGGAAUUGACGGGGGCCCGCACAAGCGGCGGAGCAUGCGGAUUAAUUCGAUGCAACGCGAAGAACCUUACCAAGGCUUGACAUCCACCGGACCGCACUGGAGACAGUGCUUCCCUUCGGGGCUGGUGGACAGGUGGUGCAUGGUUGUCGUCAGCUCGUGUCGUGAGAUGUUGGGUUAAGUCCCGCAACGAGCGCAACCCUCGUUCUAUGUUGCCAGCACGUGAUGGUGGGGACUCAUAGGAGACUGCCGGGGUCAACUCGGAGGAAGGUGGGGAUGACGUCAAAUCAUCAUGCCCCUUAUGUCUUGGGCUUCACGCAUGCUACAAUGGCCGGUACAAAGGGUUGCGAUACUGUGAGGUGGAGCUAAUCCCAAAAAGCCGGUCUCAGUUCGGAUUGAGGUCUGCAACUCGACCUCAUGAAGUCGGAGUCGCUAGUAAUCGCAGAUCAGCAACGCUGCGGUGAAUACGUUCCCGGGCCUUGUACACACCGCCCGUCAAGUCACGAAAAGUGGUAACACCCGAAGC